Magnolia sinica is the source of this 701-nucleotide long non-coding RNA. RefSeq lists it as uncharacterized. The transcript is spliced from 3 exons. The record is from RefSeq and is a predicted model, not a curated record. NCBI's taxonomy places the organism in Eukaryota, Viridiplantae, Streptophyta, Magnoliopsida, Magnoliales, Magnoliaceae.
AUGAGCUUCAUAAGAAGAUUAUGGAGGCCGGUUACAAGUAGGUUAACAAACCACCGUGAGAUAUUUGUUCCAAUAGAUAGGUAAUGAGCUUAUUAAAAUUUCAUUUCUUUUUUAUACUUUUCAUUCUUACACACAGAGUCAUGCAUGGUACAAAAAAUAAGAAAAUACUAGCCAAGAAAUAUUGCAUCAAACUAAGGGGAAUUGAUGCACCCGAAAGUCAAAUGCCCUUUGGUAAAGAGUCAACGGAUGAGUUGAUAAAAAUAGUCCAAGGCAUUGUACUCAAAAUACAUGUCUACUAUUAAGAUCGGUAUAACAGAACUGUUGGAGAUAUAUAUUGUGAUGGUAAAUUUGUCCAGUUGGAAAAGGAAGCCCGUGAAGCUAAAACUGAGUUAUGGAGUGUAUAAACCCUAAGAAACCAUGGGAUUGGAGGAGAAAGCAAUAAGUGGACAGAAAUGAUGCAUCCUCAUCCCCUCUUUAAUGAGAUUUUAGUUGCUUUAUCCUUUUGUGAUGGAGAGGAAGAAUUGAUGUCCUUGUUAGACAGGAUUUGUUGGAUGCUAGCAGGUCAUAGCUCUAGAAGAAUUAGUGGUAAUUUUUCUUUUUACUCAAAAUCAUCUGCUUAAUUUUUUUCUUUUCAUUUUUCAUUUAUUUUUGUUUUUUUUAGAGAGAGUUUGAUCGCCAAGUUAUAUGUGGAUUGCAGAGAA